AUUCUUCCAAGAAUUCAUAAAGAUCCAUAUGCUUGCUUGAUUGCAACUCGUUUUAAUCCAAAAAAUUUUGCUUGGUAAUCUUAUCUCCAUCUCUAUCAAUAAAUUCUUCCUUCAAAAGUUCUUGAAAUUUUGACAACUUCUCCACAUCCCCUCUAAGCAAUCUCUUAAUCAUUUUAUAAAUCCUAGGUUUAAUAACCAAAUGGAAGCUUAAAAUCAUCUUUGACUCAGGGAUUUGGCAUGUCUCUAUUUUACAUGUAUAAACUUCUAAAAACUUACUAAUGUUACAUCUUUUAAAUCUCCCAAAUUUAUUGAUGACUCUUUGUAAUGCCUUUGUGAUAUCUUUUUCAAUUCCUUGCAUCAUUUGUUGCUCCUCCAUGAAUAUACAAAAAGUCUUAAAAAAUUCACUAACAUUUGGUCC
This 418-nucleotide long non-coding RNA is filed under the name Physcomitrium patens. RNAcentral describes it as "long non-coding RNA (PPAT_LNC012642)". The record is from RNAcentral. Lineage: Eukaryota; Viridiplantae; Streptophyta; Bryopsida; Funariales; Funariaceae.